AACCAGACUCCUACGGGAGGCAGCAGUGGGGAAUAUUGCACAAUGGGGGAAACCCUGAUGCAGCAACGCCGCGUGAGUGAAGAAGUAUUUCGGUAUGUAAAGCUCUAUCAGCAGGGAAGAAAAUGACGGUACCUGAGUAAGAAGCCCCGGUUAACUACGUGCCAGCAGCCGCGGUAAUACGUAGGGGGCAAGCGUUAUCCGGAUUUACUGGGUGUAAAGGGAGCGUAGACGGCGAUGCAAGUCUGAAGUGAAAGCCCGGGGCUCAACCCCGGGACUGCUUUGGAAACUGUAUGGCUGGAGUGCUGGAGAGGCAAGCGUAAUUCCUAGUGUGGCGGUGAAAUGCGUAGAUAUUAGGAGGAACACCAGUGGCGAAGGCGGUCUGCUGGACAGCAACUGACGCUGAGGCGCGAAAUCGUGGGGAGCCAACAGGAUUAGAUACCCGAGUA
Molecule: ribosomal RNA, 446 nt
Filed under: uncultured bacterium
Lineage: Bacteria
Description: partial 16S ribosomal RNA
Rfam family: Bacterial small subunit ribosomal RNA
Source: RNAcentral